This 406-nucleotide long non-coding RNA is filed under the name Capra hircus (goat). Its description in RNAcentral is "lncRNA (ENSCHIG00010012121.1)". Lineage: Eukaryota; Metazoa; Chordata; Mammalia; Artiodactyla; Bovidae. The record is from RNAcentral.
CAGCACCAGAUGCCUCUGUUCCGGAAGAAGAUGGUGUGGGAAAUCCUUCAUCAGCAGUUGCUGUGAGAAUGCCCCGCCUCGUCUCUCCAGCUGCUGGUGGUUCUUUCAUGGAUGGACGUUUCCAUAUACCUCAUGCAUUGUGGGUUAAGAAGUCCCUGCAUCACCUCUGUUCUCUCACAGGUACUGAGCUGUCAGAAGUGCAUGAAGGCCUCUCUCUGCACCCUGGUCCUGACUUGGUGUGCAGCGGGCUGCUUGCAACCCUGUUUAUAAGGCUGUGCCUGCUCAGAGCCCUGGACUAUCAACCCACACAAGAACAUAUGCUAAUUAAUACUUUUUUUUAAAGAUUUUUUUUUUCUCUAUGAACGUGGGAAGUGCAGAUUUUAUUUUAUGAUUUGUUUUUUCUUUG